RNAcentral lists this long non-coding RNA (1052 nucleotides) under Fragaria vesca (wild strawberry). RNAcentral describes it as "long non-coding RNA (FVES_LNC004264)". Lineage: Eukaryota; Viridiplantae; Streptophyta; Magnoliopsida; Rosales; Rosaceae. The record is from RNAcentral.
UUAUAUCUCUUCCAGGUUGACCAAUUUGAUCAAACCAAAGCCUAUAUGAGUCGGUGUCCCAAAUAUCAUGUUUGGCGACAAUAUGGGAUUCGAUAUUCGAAUCGUAGUGACAUACAGUUCACUAGAUUGACUCAUGAAUUUCUCCAAGAUGCGCUUCAGUUCGCAUUCAUGAGGAGGUAUACACAAAAGAAUUCUUAAUCAUUCUCACAAUGUGUUUUCAAAUGAAAACCAUUAGCAUGAAUGUCUUUAAAGCUCAACAUGGUUCCUUAGAAUGUUGUGGAUAGUUCCACUAUCUGCGAAGCACUCAAUGUCUCUAUGAGACAUAACUACAAGGAGUAGAUAGACGAGUAAAUAGUUCUACUUGAACCAUUUAGAAGGAUUGAAAUAAGCUAUGAAAAGCUGCAAUCCCGAGAGUGCAUAAAAAUUUCCGCGCAGAAUGACCUUUGCGCACUAAAACAGCCAUAACUUCUUCGUUAAAAUAGAUAUGGACGAACCGUGAAAAGUUCUGAAAACUAGACUCAUAGAGCUUUCCAAUGAUAUAAAGCGCACUGUCUAGUUUGUCCGGAGCUGUUCACAAAGCUCAAACGAAGUUGACUGUCCAGAAGGGACAGAUUGCUGUUUUUCGCAGAUUUGGCAUGUGCGAAGCUAUGAAGCUUGCAGGUGGCGUGUAGGCUUUUGCCUUAGCCAAAAGUGACGUGUGUAUGAUCAAAACCAAGUCCUUUCGAUCGUUCUAAGGUCGUAAACUCCAUGACUAGUUAGCAAAAGCUCCCUGACAUGAACAUAAACUAACUCAGAGGACCUAGAGGAUCCGAUCAUGAUGAUAAUUUUCCAGCUUUGAUAAGUCUUCAACGUCUUUUGCAAGACGGCAAUUGGUUUAAUAGCUUAGGGGGAUCCAAGAUCAAAAAGCUUUCGGUAACUCCAAGUCAGUAUGACCAGGCAUGUCCGUGGAGGGUCGGUAGUGCGAGGCACACUUAAAAACCACUAUCUCCUUAAUUUCGGACAAUUCUAAAGCAUCACACUGAGCUUGGAUGAGCCUAGUUGAACAAUUGAUG